UACGGGGGGGGCAAGCGUUGUUCGGAAUUACUGGGCGUAAAGGGCUAGUAGGCGGCCAACUAAGUCAGACGUGAAAUCCCUCGGCUUAACCGGGGAACUGCGUCUGAUACUGGAUGGCUUGAAUCCGGGAGAGGGAUGCGGAAUUCCAGGUGUAGCGGUGAAAUGCGCAGAUAUCUGGAGGAACAUCGAUGGCGAAGGCAGCCCCUUGGACCUGUACUGACGCUCAUGCACGAAAGCGUGGGGAGCAAACAGG
This 253-nucleotide ribosomal RNA is filed under the name uncultured bacterium. RNAcentral's name for it is "partial 16S ribosomal RNA". It matches the Rfam family "Bacterial small subunit ribosomal RNA", at positions 524 to 776 of the family's 1533-position model. The record is from RNAcentral.